This 390-nucleotide ribosomal RNA is filed under the name Buteo jamaicensis (red-tailed hawk). Its description in RNAcentral is "partial 16S ribosomal RNA". It matches the Rfam family "Bacterial large subunit ribosomal RNA", at positions 1934 to 2484 of the family's 2925-position model. Lineage: Eukaryota; Metazoa; Chordata; Aves; Accipitriformes; Accipitridae. The record is from RNAcentral.
CGGUAUCCUAACCGUGCGAAGGUAGCGCAAUCAAUUGUCCCAUAAAUCGAGACUUGUAUGAAUGGCUAAACGAGGCCUUAACUGUCUCUUACAGAUAGUCAGUGAAAUUGAUCUCCCUGUACAAAAGCAGGAAUAUAUACAUAAGACGAGAAGACCCUGUGGAACUUAAAAAUAAGCGGCCACUAUACAUAAAUACACACCUACCAGGCCCACAGCUACAACCCUAAUUGCUGGCCACCAUUUUUCGGUUGGGGCGACCUUGGAGAAAAGAAAAACCUCCAAAAAUAAGACCAUACCUCUUAACCAAGAGCAACCCCUCAACGUACUAAUAGUAACCAGAUCCAAUAAAGAUUGACCAAUGGACCAAGCUACCCCAGGGAUAACAGCGCA